Molecule: long non-coding RNA, 375 nt
Filed under: Homo sapiens (human)
Lineage: Eukaryota; Metazoa; Chordata; Mammalia; Primates; Hominidae
Description: non-protein coding lnc-DUSP4-10:1
Source: RNAcentral
AUUCCAUUCAAGCUACUAUGAGCCAGCAGAAAGUACUGAGGAAUCUGAAACACGAUGGGGAAGCCUUUUCCCAAUGAGGAGUGGCAUUAGUGUAAUAUAAAAACAAGACCUUACAACAGUUCUAAAAUGACUUGCUUUUCCCUCUGUUCGGAUACAGGAUAUUUUUUUUUUUCAUAACAGUUUAUUACAAUGACUAUCGGAAUAUUUUGCCUAUGUCAAUUUCUGUUUUUCAGACUAAGUUGACCUGUGGCCCAGAUUUCAUACAUGUAUUGAAUUUGUAGAAUUUCAAAAACUCCAUCACAGGUGCUAGAUAAAUAAUAAUUAAGGAUCUUUUUAUUUUCAGAUCACUGACCUAAAGAUAUAUGUGUUAAUGCC